This 119-nucleotide ribosomal RNA is filed under the name Cebus imitator (Panamanian white-faced capuchin). The record is from RNAcentral. Lineage: Eukaryota; Metazoa; Chordata; Mammalia; Primates; Cebidae.
GCCUAUGGCCAUACCACCCUGAACGCGCCUGAUCUUGUCUGAUCUCGGAAGCUAAGCAGGAUUGGGCCUGGUUAGUACUUGGAUGGGAGACUACCUGGGUAUACCGGGUGCUGUAGGCU